RNAcentral lists this ribosomal RNA (450 nucleotides) under uncultured bacterium. RNAcentral's name for it is "partial 16S ribosomal RNA". It matches the Rfam family "Bacterial small subunit ribosomal RNA", at positions 354 to 796 of the family's 1533-position model. The record is from RNAcentral.
GUGGGGAAUUUGGGACAAUGGGCGCAAGCCUGAUCCAGCAAUGCCGCGUGCAGGAAGAAGGCCUUCGGGUUGUAAACUGCUUUUGUACGGAACGAAACGGUCCGGGUUAAUACCCUGGGCUAAUGACGGUACCGUAAGAAUAAGCACCGGCUAACUACGUGCCAGCAGCCGCGGUAAUACGUAGGGUGCAAGCGUUAAUCGGAAUUACUGGGCGUAAAGCGUGCGCAGGCGGUUUUGUAAGACAGGCGUGAAAUCCCCGGGCUCAACCUGGGAAUUGCGCUUGUGACUGCAAGGCUGGAGUGCGGCAGAGGGGGAUGGAAUUCCGCGUGUAGCAGUGAAAUGCGUAGAUAUGCGGAGGAACACCGAUGGCGAAGGCAAUCCCCUGGGCCUGCACUGACGCUCAUGCACGAAAGCGUGGGGAGCAAACAGGAUUAGAUACCCUUGUAGUCC